This 383-nucleotide ribosomal RNA is filed under the name Cutibacterium acnes. Its description in RNAcentral is "bacterial SSU rRNA". It matches the Rfam family "Bacterial small subunit ribosomal RNA", at positions 28 to 408 of the family's 1533-position model. Lineage: Bacteria; Bacillati; Actinomycetota; Actinomycetes; Propionibacteriales; Propionibacteriaceae. The record is from RNAcentral.
GACGAACGCUGGCGGCGUGCUUAACACAUGCAAGUCGAACGGAAAGGCCCUGCUUUUGUGGGGUGCUCGAGUGGCGAACGGGUGAGUAACACGUGAGUAACCUGCCCUUGACUUUGGGAUAACUUCAGGAAACUGGGGCUAAUACCGGAUAGGAGCUCCUGCUGCAUGGUGGGGGUUGGAAAGUUUCGGCGGUUGGGGAUGGACUCGCGGCUUAUCAGCUUGUUGGUGGGGUAGUGGCUUACCAAGGCUUUGACGGGUAGCCGGCCUGAGAGGGUGACCGGCCACAUUGGGACUGAGAUACGGCCCAGACUCCUACGGGAGGCAGCAGUGGGGAAUAUUGCACAAUGGGCGGAAGCCCUGAUGCAGCAACGCCGCGUGCGGGA